Long non-coding RNA from Sander lucioperca (pikeperch), 96 nucleotides. RefSeq lists it as uncharacterized. The record is from RefSeq and is a predicted model, not a curated record. NCBI's taxonomy places the organism in Eukaryota, Metazoa, Chordata, Actinopteri, Perciformes, Percidae. The transcript is spliced from 3 exons.
CCAGAUUAGUGGGAGAGGUUGGGGUGGAUGGAUGGGUCAAACAAACAGGAUUUUCAACCAGGAGACCGCUGUUCAUGUCCCGUGUUAAACCAAAAG